This 613-nucleotide ribosomal RNA is filed under the name uncultured bacterium. Its description in RNAcentral is "bacterial SSU rRNA". It matches the Rfam family "Bacterial small subunit ribosomal RNA", at positions 338 to 951 of the family's 1533-position model. The record is from RNAcentral.
CCUACGGGAGGCAGCAGUGGGGAAUAUUGGACAAUGGGCGAAAGCCUGAUCCAGCAAUUCCGCGUGUGUGAAGAAGGCCUUCGGGUUGUAAAGCACUUUAGUUGGGGAAGAAACAGCUUGGCCACACCAAGCCUUGACGGUACCCAAAGAAUAAGCACCGGCUAACUCUGUGCCAGCAGCCGCGGUAAUACAGAGGGUGCAAGCGUUAAUCGGAUUUACUGGGCGUAAAGGGUGCGUAGGUGGUUUGUAAGUCGGAUGUGAAAGCCUGGGGCUCAACCUCAGAAUUGCACUCGAUACUGCAAGACUAGAGUUCGGUAGAGGGCGGCGGAAUUCCCGGUGUAGCGGUGAAAUGCGUAGAUAUCGGGAGGAACAUCAAUGGCGAAGGCAGCCGCCUGGGCCUGAACUGACACUGAGGCACGAAAGCGUGGGUAGCAAACAGGAUUAGAUACCCUGGUAGUCCACGCUGUAAACGAUGAGAACUUGACGUUGGUUCGUUUUACGAAUCGGUGUCGCAGCUAACGCGAUAAGUUCUCCGCCUGGGGAGUACGGCCGCAAGGUUGAAACUCAAAUGAAUUGACGGCUGAGAGNGCGACGACGACGACGAGGGAGGAGG